UGUCGAUGCCCAACGUCAUCUCAGUGUGGUUGUGUCGCGCUGACGGGAGUAGGGAAGCUACGGCCGCUCGAGGGUUUUCUCCCUUCUUACAGUACGAAUCUCGGCCGUAUCGUGAACGGGUGCACGCUUGCAUUACCUCCGUGUGUUGCUGUCCUUUCGUAUACAAUCCUGUGUGAUCGCUGUGGGAUAAAUAAUAAGAAAGAUAGAAAAAAAGUAAGUCCGUAGAACACGAAGUCGUGCACUUCGACCAUUGGAUAUAGAUUUAAUUAAAAUAUCUGUUACGAUUUUGUGUGCAUCGGGUGUUAUUGCAAACGGAUCUCUGGAAAAUAAGGAAAAAUUAUCGGUUUUUAAGGCUACACGAGCUGCGUGUACUGGUGUAGGAGGAGUGAUAGUAUGGUUGUCGAAGAAACAAUGGUUCUCUAAAGCUCAGGUGCGGCUGCAGAACGCACUUUGGUGAAUAUCUUGGAAGAUUCACCAUGGCUCCCUCCAUCCAACACUCGAAAAUGGCUCGCCGGGUUCUGUUGCAAAGCCUGGCAGUCCUUCUGGUCACUCACGCCCACGCUACUGCUUCCAGUGAGUAUAACACGCAGUCGCCUCACACCGGAAGUCCAAACCACAGGGCGACGGUAUGUUAAUCUUCCAGGUAGCGCGGGUAUCCACUCGGCAGGGAGGUUCAGCGCUCGAGUGGUACGCCGUCUAGACAUGUCAUGUAAACUGUAUAUUGGAGAGUAUUACGGGAUCGCUAAUCCAUCGUUGUAACAACAACACGGCGUGGAGUUUCCUAACGCGGAUGCAAUAUUUCAUUACGAUAUGCUGUGCUAGAACGGUAUCAGUGGUACAUCAGUGUCGCGGUUAAUAUCUAGUUUAUGAAACUAGAUGUUGAUUCUUAGAGAAUUCUGAAAAAAAAACCUUGAUUAAAAGGAGAUAGAGGGAAAGAGAGUAAAUAGGAAUGAUGUUAAUGACAAUGAGGAUAGUAGU
Molecule: long non-coding RNA, 978 nt
Filed under: Penaeus japonicus
Lineage: Eukaryota; Metazoa; Arthropoda; Malacostraca; Decapoda; Penaeidae
Description: uncharacterized LOC122251597
Source: RNAcentral